RNAcentral lists this ribosomal RNA (253 nucleotides) under uncultured bacterium. Its description in RNAcentral is "partial 16S ribosomal RNA". It matches the Rfam family "Bacterial small subunit ribosomal RNA", at positions 524 to 776 of the family's 1533-position model. The record is from RNAcentral.
UACGAAGGGGGCUAGCGUUGCUCGGAAUCACUGGGCGUAAAGCGCACGUAGGCGGAUUGCUAAGUCAGGGGUGAAAUCCUGGAGCUCAACUCCAGAACUGCCUUUGAAACUGUUUGGCUAGAGUGUCGGAGGGGAUAGCGGAAUUGCUAAUGUAGCGGUGAAAUGCGUAGAUAUUAGCAGGAACACCGGUGGCGAAGGCGGCUAUCUGGACGACAACUGACGCUGAGGCACGAAAGCGUGGGGAUCAAACAGG